RNAcentral lists this ribosomal RNA (640 nucleotides) under Boletellus cubensis. RNAcentral's name for it is "partial large subunit ribosomal RNA". It matches the Rfam family "Eukaryotic large subunit ribosomal RNA", at positions 123 to 756 of the family's 3401-position model. The record is from RNAcentral. Lineage: Eukaryota; Fungi; Basidiomycota; Agaricomycetes; Boletales; Boletaceae.
GGUCGAAAGGCCGUCCGNGUUGUAAUCUAGAGAAGCGUGUUCUGUGCUGGACCGUGUACAAGUCUCCUGGAAGGGAGCGUCAUAGAGGGUGAGAAUCCCGUCUCUGACACGGNGAACCAGGGCUAUGUGAUGCGCUCUCGACGAGUCGAGUUGUUUGGGAAUGCAGCUCUAAAAGGGUGGUAAAUUCCAUCUAAAGCUAAAUACUGGCGAGAGACCGAUAGCGAACAAGUACCGUGAGGGAAAGAUGAAAAGAACUUUGGAAAGAGAGUUAAACAGUACGUGAAAUUGCUGAAAGGGAAACGUUUGACGUCAGUCGCGUCAGUCAGGGAUCAACCUUGCGAGCGUUCGCGCUGACGGGUGCACUUCCUGACGGACGGGUCAGCAUCAGUUUGGAUCGCCGUACAAUGGCAAAGGGAAGGUGGCACUCCUCGGAGUGUGUUAUAGCCUUUUGUCGUCUGCGGAGAGCUAGACUGAGGAACUCGGCACGGCCUUCUCAGGUCUGUAGUCUAGGAUGCUGGCAUAAUGGCGUCAAGCGACCCGUCUUGAAACACGGACCAAGGAGUCUAACAUGCAUGCGAGUGUUUGGGUGGAAAACUCGAGCGCGGAACGAAAGUGAAAGUCGAGACCUCUGUCAUGGAGA